GGGGAUGUAGCUCAGAUGGUAGAGCGCUCGCUUAGCAUGAGAGAGGCACGGGGAUCGAUACCCCGCAUCUCCA
RNAcentral lists this transfer RNA (73 nucleotides) under Marchantia polymorpha subsp. ruderalis. It matches the Rfam family "tRNA". Rfam says of the family: Transfer RNA (tRNA) molecules are approximately 80 nucleotides in length. Their secondary structure includes four short double-helical elements and three loops (D, anti-codon, and T loops). Further hydrogen bonds mediate the characteristic L-shaped molecular structure. tRNAs have two regions of fundamental functional importance: the anti-codon, which is responsible for specific mRNA codon recognition, and the 3' end, to which the tRNAs corresponding amino acid is attached (by aminoacyl-tRNA synthetases). tRNAs cope with the degeneracy of the genetic code in two manners: having more than one tRNA (with a specific anti-codon) for a particular amino acid; and 'wobble' base-pairing, i.e. permitting non-standard base-pairing at the 3rd anti-codon position. The record is from Rfam by way of RNAcentral. Lineage: Eukaryota; Viridiplantae; Streptophyta; Marchantiopsida; Marchantiales; Marchantiaceae.